RNAcentral lists this ribosomal RNA (597 nucleotides) under uncultured eukaryote. RNAcentral describes it as "bacterial SSU rRNA". It matches the Rfam family "Eukaryotic small subunit ribosomal RNA", at positions 4 to 565 of the family's 1831-position model. The record is from RNAcentral.
CUGGUUGAUCCUGCCAGUUCCAUAUGCUUGUUUCCAAGGCUAAGCCAUGCAAGUAUAAGUGUAAACUCAAUCGAGUGAAACUGCGAAUGGCUCAAUACAACACCCGCGGUGUAAAAGUGAGUGAUAACUUACAUGGAUAACUGUGGUAAUUCUAGAGCUAAUACAUGCCUCAAAGGGGAGUAGCAAUACUCCUCGCGUUUACCGACUCAUGAUGCCCAGCAGACGCGGCGCAAGCCGAGUCUACUUCAGGUACUACUUCGGUAGUCCUGGUUGAAUCCACGGUAACCAUGAAUGCUGACCGAGGACCUGACGGUUCACGGCAGUUCUUAACAGCGGCUGUCUUAUCAAACCUGUCGCUAGGACAGAGUCCUACGCAAAGUAAUAACGGGUAACGGGGGACUGGGGUUUGGUUCCGGAGAGGGAGCCUGAGAGACGGCUACCACAUCUAAGGAAGGCAGCAGGCGCGCAAAUUACUCCCUGCUCAAUCGGCGAAGUAGUGACGAAAAAUAACGAUGCUAGACUCGAAAGAGCCCUAGUAAUCGGAAUGAGCCGAAAAUAAGCCUCUUUAGCGAGGAUCAACUGGAGGGCAAGUCUGGU